UUUCUUCUGUGGUCACAUUGCCUUGUCUUCUUUGUGUGUCCCUCUCAUGUGGCUCUCUUUAAGGAUACUUAUUCUUAUAGGAGUCAAGUGGGCCAUAUCCAGUAUGAUCUCUUCUCAUGAUCCUUAGCUUCGUAUUUGCAAAGAUGCUUCAUACACAGAAACUCAUAUUAUAAGUUCUGGGGUAUAUGAUGUGGACAUAUCUUUUAAGAAGGUCAAUAAUCAACCUACUACAUCAGUAACCCUGCCAAUUGUCCCUCCGGAGUUAGACUAAAAAGUCACAACAAGUGCUCUCACCUGAAGCUAGGGAGGAAGGUCACUCCCCUUUAUGACAUCGCUAGUUCUCCACUUGGCCCCAAGAUCGCCUGCCUUCAGAAGGAAAUCUGGCUUUUCAUUCAUUAUCUAUUGGCAGAGAGGGAAGACAAGCGCUGCUCAACCUGUGAGAUAUGGCACCCUUGCAUCUAAUGCUGGGUCUCAAAUCAGUGCUGAGUCCCUGGCCUCCUGUUCAUGGGCAGAUAAAAUGAGAUUUCAGACCCUGCCUUGCCUGGUGAGAUUACAAGUGAACUGUGAAGACUUGCUACGUGGGAAGCCUCUCUGUGGAAAUGUUCCCAAUGACUUUUGAGCCCCUGGGAUAGAGUACUGCUCUUUUUUGGAAAGGAGCAAUGUGUCAAGGCUGAGGACGCUAGGAAGCUCGUAUGCUGCUGAAUUUGCCACUGUGGCAGAGAGGGCAGGUCUCACGGCGAUGACAUUUCAGCAGACGCUUGGAGGUAAUGGAAUCACUCCAAUAUCUUGAGGGCAGGAGGUAAGGAAGCAGCCCAGGCAAGGAUUCAGAAGUGCGGGGAGGGCCGGAGGUGAGCCUGGUAACCGGGAGAGCAAGGGGCCAGUGUAGAUGCAGUGGUUGUGUGGGGUGGGGUGCACUGGGUGCCUGGGCUUUGCAGGCCAAGGAAAGGGCUUUGCUUGCAGCGUGAGUGAAAAGGUUGUCACCUGGAGCAGAGGAAUGUCAGCAUCAGAUUUACAUCUUAAAACUGGAGAAUGGCUGUGGAAGGAACCCAGGCUCGGCCGGCGGGUACAGGUGGAAAAAUACCCAUUUAUCUGCGCUGUCACCCUUCCAGUCCUCUUGGCACGAAGACUAGGCAGGUGAUUUCUAUUUCCAUAUUAUGCACGGGCAAACUGUUUUGUGGUGAGGCUGCUGGCAUUCUUGGAAGGCCCAGAGUAGGAAAGUGGUGGGCAGAGUGUUGCGUUCCUACAGCCCCAGGACUUGGUCUCAGAGGCAUUGCCAGACAGUAGGGGCUAUUAGCGAACAGUGCCCAUGUGGGUUUCUCAUGCCCUCGAGGACUGUUUUGGUACAAAGGAAAGACCAUCUGGGACUAGGUACUACUUUGGGAUUUUUUAAAUUGA
This is a long non-coding RNA of Fukomys damarensis (Damara mole-rat), 1395 nucleotides long. RefSeq lists it as uncharacterized. The record is from RefSeq and is a predicted model, not a curated record. The transcript has 3 exons. NCBI's taxonomy places the organism in Eukaryota, Metazoa, Chordata, Mammalia, Rodentia, Bathyergidae.